Molecule: long non-coding RNA, 290 nt
Organism: Eriocheir sinensis (Chinese mitten crab)
Lineage: Eukaryota; Metazoa; Arthropoda; Malacostraca; Decapoda; Varunidae
Exons: 3
Source: RefSeq, a predicted model, not a curated record
CGUCAUCUCUCUCAGUAUAAGGCAUUCAGGUCAUCAGUAAAGACUUCCCCCCGUCCGUCAUUUGAUUGUCUAUGAGGAACACUUCUCUAGCUCAAUAUCACACACAGACCCACAUUGCCAACAGAAAAGAGGUAUAAAGAAGCUUGCAACCUCGUCAUCUCUCUCAGUAUAAAGCAUCCAGCAAGUCCUCAAUCAUCCAGUACUCACCGAUGACCUUGAGGUUGACCCGCACGUUCCUGGUGGGCGAGGACUUGAAAUCCACUCUGCAGCGGUACUCGUCCUCGUCGCUG